UGCAAGUCGAACGCUUCUUUCCUCCCGAGUGCUUGCACUCAAUUGGAAAGAGGAGUGGCGGACGGGUGAGUAACACGUGGGUAACCUACCCAUCAGAGGGGGAUAACACUUGGAAACAGGUGCUAAUACCGCAUAACAGUUUAUGCCGCAUGGCAUAAGAGUGAAAGGCGCUUUCGGGUGUCGCUGAUGGAUGGACCCGCGGUGCAUUAGCUAGUUGGUGAGGUAACGGCUCACCAAGGCCACGAUGCAUAGCCGACCUGAGAGGGUGAUCGGCCACACUGGGACUGAGACACGGCCCAGACUCCUACGGGAGGCAGCAGUAGGGAAUCUUCGGCAAUGGACGAAAGUCUGACCGAGCAACGCCGCGUGAGUGAAGAAGGUUUUCGGAUCGUAAAACUCUGUUGUUAGAGAAGAACAAGGACGUUAGUAACUGAACGUCCCCUGACGGUAUCUAACCAGAAAGCCACGGCUAACUACGUGCCAGCAGCC
Molecule: ribosomal RNA, 489 nt
Filed under: Enterococcus faecalis
Lineage: Bacteria; Bacillati; Bacillota; Bacilli; Lactobacillales; Enterococcaceae
Description: bacterial SSU rRNA
Rfam family: Bacterial small subunit ribosomal RNA
Source: RNAcentral